UGGGGAAUCUUGGACAAUGGGGGCAACCCUGAUCCAGCAAUGCCGCGUGGGUGAAGAAGGCCUUCGGGUUGUAAAGCCCUUUCGGCAGGGAAGAAAUCGGCGGGGCGAAUAACCCUGCUGGAUGACGGUACCUGCAGAAGAAGCACCGGCUAACUACGUGCCAGCAGCCGCGGUAAUACGUAGGGUGCGAGCGUUAAUCGGAUUUACUGGGCGUAAAGCGUGCGCAGGCGGCCCGUUAAGACAGGUGUGAAAUCCCUGGGCUCAACCUAGGAAUUGCGCUUGUGACUGGCGGGCUCGAGUACGGUAGAGGGGGGUGGAAUUCCUGGUGUAGCAGUGAAAUGCGUAGAGAUCAGGAGGAACACCGAUGGCGAAGGCAGCCCCCUGGGCCUGUACUGACGCUCAUGCACGAAAGCGUGGGGAGCAAACAGGAUUAGAUACCCUGGUAGUCCACGCCCUAAACGAUGGGUACUAGCCGUUUGGUGCGCGAUAGCGCUGAGUGGCGAAGCUAACGCGUGAAGUACCCCGCCUGGGGAGUACGGCCGCAAGGUUGAAACU
Molecule: ribosomal RNA, 555 nt
Filed under: uncultured bacterium
Lineage: Bacteria
Description: partial 16S ribosomal RNA
Rfam family: Bacterial small subunit ribosomal RNA
Source: RNAcentral